Pelmatolapia mariae (spotted tilapia) is the source of this 1623-nucleotide long non-coding RNA. RefSeq lists it as uncharacterized. The transcript has 3 exons. NCBI's taxonomy places the organism in Eukaryota, Metazoa, Chordata, Actinopteri, Cichliformes, Cichlidae. The record is from RefSeq and is a predicted model, not a curated record.
CCUCCUCAGCCUCAACAACAAACAUCGACGUCUAAGCACAGAUGCACAUCUAAAUGCAGUCAAACUUUCCUCAAGCCUGACAUCAGAUAUGUAAAUGUCUGAUUUUACCUGACCAGGUAAAAUCAGGUAAAAUGUAUUUAGUGCACAGUCAUCUAAAAAGAAAAACUGUCAACCUCCUAACAAGGUGCACAUAUUCACAGCUGCUGCUGCAGGAGAUGAGCCCAAAUGAGGAGAGUCUACAUAAGAUGAGAGGGACGUGCCAGACAACAGGUGCAUGGAUACAUCACGGCUCAUCCACUGGCACCACACUGUAUGAUUCCAGCCAUAUAAAAGACAGCUGGUUUUGAUCUAUUUCAUUUUUUUUUUAGAUCGAUUACUUGUAACUGUACAGCAACUCUAGCUCCUCAGACAGGCGGGAGUAUGACUAAGGGUGUCUCAUCCUAGUCUCACAGGCUAUUCACACUUACUCUUCCCCCUGUGGUGAUAGCGAUGCCUCUCCGCAGUGUAUCUGUAUCUGUUUGUUCAUUCAUAGGAAAAGCAUUAGUGACACGUAGAUGAGUCAUAGAGGCUUGCGUCUAAACAGUCCACGGCGUGUCAGAAACCCUGCCACCCUUCUGCUCCUCGCCUCAAGGCACUACUCAUACCCUCACCAGUCUCCCUAGUUACUCUAACUCGUACAUACGCAUACAUAUGCCUCCUGUGUUUGUUCAAACAGAGCGGGUCCCACCUGAUGUGUUGGGUGCCGCAGAGCAGAUGUUGCUGUAGUUGUGGGCCGGACAGCAGUGGGAGGCUGUGGACAUCCUCAUUACUGAGAUGCUGUUGGGGUUCUCCUCUCUAGUGGGAUCUCUUUAAUGAAGUGGUUCUUCUUAUAAUCAUUCACUCUAAUCACCACACACUGUAAAUACAGGAAAUUCUGCGCAGUAGUGAGCAGUCUUGGUGAAUACAGCUGAAUACCAUAAAUACUGAUACCUCAGAGAAACAAGAUAUUAACAAAAAGGUAGUGUGCAAUCUUAACUAUGUAGAUUUUUUGUGUUUAGCUCAAAUCAGAAAUGAGAGGCGUGCCAGCACCCGCAGCAAUGUGGAUGUUUACAACGUUAAUUGUGUUGUGGUGGUUAUUUCAGUUAUGAGAGCACAAAUGAUUAGUCACAUCCAUCCACAUACCCAGAGUUCAUCUUCUUCAGGGUGGCUGUCAAAAUGUUGUAUAAAGCAGGAUUAUCAUGACUGUGCAGUUAAAGACAAUGGGAAUUGCUCACCUUAUGUCAUAAUUUAGAAAGGGAAUAUAAUAAUUCAGUGUGAACGAGGACACGCAGGGAACCUCAGCGGUUGUUACCAUGUUUUUAAUGUUGCAGUUAUUCAAUGCUUCACUAUAUUUUACAGUCAUAUACUGUUUAUGGAGAUUAGAGGAAGAACACUAAAUUUAAAAAAAGAAAUGGCAAUCGCACAGCUGACAGUAUCAUACUGCACAGCUUAUAUACUGUAUACAGUUUCAUGCUUGCAGAUCCAGCUCCAGCACUUCACUGUAAUUUAACAGGGAAUUUUAUCAUAGUGCAUGAAAUCUGCAACCAUCCAUUCCAAUCUGCACAUAGAUGCCAUCGCUUUCAGGUGAGACAUGAGCAUAAAGGU